UUUAUGGAGAGUUUGAUCCUGGCUCAGGAUGAACGCUGGCGGCGUGCCUAAUACAUGCAAGUCGAGCGAACGGACGAGAAGCUUGCUUCUCUGAUGUUAGCGGCGGACGGGUGAGUAACACGUGGAUAACCUACCUAUAAGACUGGGAUAACUUCGGGAAACCGGAGCUAAUACCGGAUAAUAUUUUGAACCGCAUGGUUCAAAAGUAAAAGACGGUCUUGCUGUCACUUAUAGAUGGAUCCGCGCUGCAUUAGCUAGUUGGUAAGGUAACGGCUUACCAAGGCAACGAUGCAUAGCCGACCUGAGAGGGUGAUCGGCCACACUGGAACUGAGACACGGUCCAGACUCCUACGGGAGGCAGCAGUAGGGAAUCUUCCGCAAUGGGCGAAAGCCUGACGGAGCAACGCCGCGUGAGUGAUGAAGGUCUUCGGAUCGUAAAACUCUGUUAUUAGGGAAGAACAUAUGUGUAAGUAACUGUGCACAUCUUGACGGUACCUAAUCAGAAAGCCACGGCUAACUACGUGCCAGCAGCCGCGGUAAUACGUAGGUGGCAAGCGUUAUCCGGAAUUAUUGGGCGUAAAGCGCGCGUAGGCGGUUUUUUAAGUCUGAUGUGAAAGCCCACGGCUCAACCGUGGAGGGUCAUUGGAAACUGGAAAACUUGAGUGCAGAAGAGGAAAGUGGAAUUCCAUGUGUAGCGGUGAAAUGCGCAGAGAUAUGGAGGAACACCAGUGGCGAAGGCGACUUUCUGGUCUGUAACUGACGCUGAUGUGCGAAAGCGUGGGGAUCAAACAGGAUUAGAUACCCUGGUAGUCCACGCCGUAAACGAUGAGUGCUAAGUGUUAGGGGGUUUCCGCCCCUUAGUGCUGCAGCUAACGCAUUAAGCACUCCGCCUGGGGAGUACGACCGCAAGGUUGAAACUCAAAGGAAUUGACGGGGACCCGCACAAGCGGUGGAGCAUGUGGUUUAAUUCGAAGCAACGCGAAGAACCUUACCAAAUCUUGACAUCCUUUGACAACUCUAGAGAUAGAGCCUUCCCCUUCGGGGGACAAAGUGACAGGUGGUGCAUGGUUGUCGUCAGCUCGUGUCGUGAGAUGUUGGGUUAAGUCCCGCAACGAGCGCAACCCUUAAGCUUAGUUGCCAUCAUUAAGUUGGGCACUCUAAGUUGACUGCCGGUGACAAACCGGAGGAAGGUGGGGAUGACGUCAAAUCAUCAUGCCCCUUAUGAUUUGGGCUACACACGUGCUACAAUGGACAAUACAAAGGGCAGCGAAACCGCGAGGUCAAGCAAAUCCCAUAAAGUUGUUCUCAGUUCGGAUUGUAGUCUGCAACUCGACUACAUGAAGCUGGAAUCGCUAGUAAUCGUAGAUCAGCAUGCUACGGUGAAUACGUUCCCGGGUUUUGUACACACCGCCCGUCACACCACGAGAGUUUGUAACACCCGAAGCCGGUGGAGUAACCUUUUAGGAGCUAGCCGUCGAAGGUGGGACAAAUGAUUGGGGUGAAGUCGUAACAAGGUAGCCGUAUCGGAAGGUGCGGCUGGAUCACCUCCUUUCU
Molecule: ribosomal RNA, 1554 nt
Filed under: Staphylococcus aureus
Lineage: Bacteria; Bacillati; Bacillota; Bacilli; Caryophanales; Staphylococcaceae
Description: 16S ribosomal RNA
Rfam family: Bacterial small subunit ribosomal RNA
Source: RNAcentral